UACGUAGGCCGCAAGCGUUGUUCGGAAUUAUUGGGCGUAAAGAGCGUGUAGGCGGCUUUACAGGUCCGUUGUGAAAACUCGAGGCUCAACCUCGAGACGCCGGUGGAAACCGUAAAGCUAGAGUCCGGAAGAGGAGAGUGGAAUUCCUGGUGUAGCGGUGAAAUGCGCAGAUAUCAGGAAGAACACCCGUGGCGAAGGCGGCUCUCUGGGACGGUACUGACGCUGAGACGCGAAAGCGUGGGGAGCGAACAGG
This 253-nucleotide ribosomal RNA is filed under the name uncultured bacterium. RNAcentral describes it as "partial 16S ribosomal RNA". It matches the Rfam family "Bacterial small subunit ribosomal RNA", at positions 524 to 776 of the family's 1533-position model. The record is from RNAcentral.